UAAUUGGAGAGUUUGAUUCUGGCUCAGAACGAACGCUGGCGGCGUGGUUCAGGCAUGCAAGUCGCACGAUCCUUCGUAGCCCGUAAGGGCGAAGGAGGAUAGUGGCAGAAGGGUUAGUAACACGUGGGUGAUCUACCCUCGAGGCGGGGAUAACAUUUCGAAAGAAGUGCUAAUACCCGAUGACAUUAUCGAAACAUAAGUUUUGAUAAUCAAAGGUAGCUCUUGAAGGGCUGUCGCUUGAGGAGGAGCCCGCGGCCUAUCAGCUAGUUGGUGAGGUAACGGCCCACCAAGGCUUUUGACGGGUAGCUGGUCUAAGAGGACGGUCAGCAACAUUGGG
RNAcentral lists this non-coding RNA (337 nucleotides) under Omnitrophica bacterium RIFCSPHIGHO2_02_FULL_51_18. RNAcentral describes it as "bacterial SSU rRNA". It matches the Rfam family "Bacterial small subunit ribosomal RNA", at positions 1 to 317 of the family's 1533-position model. The record is from RNAcentral. Lineage: Bacteria; Pseudomonadati; Candidatus Omnitrophota.